This 444-nucleotide unclassified non-coding RNA is filed under the name uncultured marine bacterium 311. Its description in RNAcentral is "partial 16S-23S ribosomal RNA intergenic spacer". The stretch from base 329 to 444 matches the Rfam family "Bacterial large subunit ribosomal RNA", at positions 1 to 117 of the family's 2925-position model. The record is from RNAcentral.
CCUCCUUAAAGAGAGAUACGUUUGGUGCAGGCGUUCACACAUAUUGCUUAUUUUACCUAAAUUUUCUUUACUGAAAAUCAAAGGUUAGUUCUUUAACAUUUUUAUAAGUUCAAUCAAGUCACAUUUAAUUAUUGAUAUAAAAAUUUAUUUUUUUAUUAGAUAGUGAGAAUGUGCAAAUUAACAGUUUAUAAGAGAUUUCCUUUUCCUAUAUCCGGAAAUCUUGUUAUAGACAACUGCAAAGUAAUUUGGCGUUUUUGUGUUUUUUUAAAAACACAUAUAGUAGAUAGAAAUACUUGUUAAAUAUUCAUUAAGUUAAUUGAUGUAAUAUGGUCAAGUAAUGAAGUGCAAACGGUGGAUGCCUUGGCAGCUAGAGGCGAUGAAGGACGUAGUAACUUGCGAUAAGCUUCGGGGAGUCGGUAACAGACUUUGAUCCGGAGAUUCCGA